This is a long non-coding RNA of Symphalangus syndactylus (siamang), 249 nucleotides long. RefSeq lists it as uncharacterized. Lineage: Eukaryota; Metazoa; Chordata; Mammalia; Primates; Hylobatidae. The record is from RefSeq and is a predicted model, not a curated record.
AGGGGAAUUUUCAGUGGUUUGUGCCCUGCUACUGAUGAAGAGGCUGGAUGGAUGGGAUCCUCAAGCAGGAGCUUCAUCCAGAGUAGACUUCCUGGAUAAGACACAAGAAGGCAAAAAGCAACAUGGAUGCAGCUGGAGGUCAUUAACGCAGGAGAAAACCAAAGACCACAUGUUCUCACUUCUAAGCUGGAGUUAAACACUGAGCACACAUGAACAUGAAGAUGGGAACAACAGACACUGGGGCUACUA